This 497-nucleotide ribosomal RNA is filed under the name uncultured bacterium. Its description in RNAcentral is "partial 16S ribosomal RNA". It matches the Rfam family "Bacterial small subunit ribosomal RNA", at positions 28 to 507 of the family's 1533-position model. The record is from RNAcentral.
GAUGAACGCUGGCGGCGUGCCUAAUACAUGCAAGUCGAGCGAACAGAUGAGGAGCUUGCUCCUCUGACGUUAGCGGCGGACGGGUGAGUAACACGUGGAUAACCUACCUAUAAGACUGGGAUAACUUCGGGAAACCGGAGCUAAUACCGCAUAAUAUAUUGAACCGCAUGGUUCAAUAGUGAAAUACGGUUUUGCUGUCACUUAUAGAUGGAUCCGCGCCGCAUUAGCUAGUUGGUAAGCUAACGGCUUACCAAGGCAACGAUGCGUAGCCGACCUGAGAGGGGGAUCGGCCACACGGGAACUGAGACACGGACCAGAGUCCUACGGGAGGGAGCAGUAGGGAAUCGUCCGCAAUGGGCGAAAGCCUGACGGAGCAACGCCGCGUGAGUGAUGAAGGUCUUCGGAUCGUAAAACUCUGUUAUUAGGGAAGAACAAAUGUGUAAGUAACUAUGCACGUCUUGACGGUACCUAAUCAGAAAGCCACGGCUAACUACGUG